RNAcentral lists this ribosomal RNA (465 nucleotides) under Vreelandella stevensii. Its description in RNAcentral is "partial 16S ribosomal RNA". It matches the Rfam family "Bacterial small subunit ribosomal RNA", at positions 338 to 795 of the family's 1533-position model. Lineage: Bacteria; Pseudomonadati; Pseudomonadota; Gammaproteobacteria; Oceanospirillales; Halomonadaceae. The record is from RNAcentral.
CCUACGGGUGGCAGCAGUGGGGAAUAUUGGACAAUGGGCGAAAGCCUGAUCCAGCCAUGCCGCGUGUGUGAAGAAGGCCUUCGGGUUGUAAAGCACUUUCAGUGGGGAAGAAAGCCUUGGGGCUAAUACCCUCGAGGAAGGACAUCACCCACAGAAGAAGCACCGGCUAACUCCGUGCCAGCAGCCGCGGUAAUACGGAGGGUGCGAGCGUUAAUCGGAAUUACUGGGCGUAAAGCGCGCGUAGGCGGUCUGUUAAGCCGGUUGUGAAAGCCCCGGGCUCAACCUGGGAACGGCAUCCGGAACUGUCAGGCUAGAGUGCAGGAGAGGAAGGUAGAAUUCCCGGUGUAGCGGUGAAAUGCGUAUAGAUCGGGAGGAAUACCAGUGGCGAAGGCGGCCUUCUGGACUGACACUGACGCUGAGGUGCGAAAGCGUGGGUAGCAAACAGGAUUAGAUACCCUGGUAGUC